GGGAGUGAAAAAGAACCUGAAACCGUGUACGUACAAGCAGUGGGAGCACAGGUUUACCUGUGUGACUGCGUACCUUUUGUAUAAUGGGUCAGCGACUUAUAUUCUGUAGCAAGGUUAACCGUAUAGGGGAGCCGYAGKGAAACCGAGUCUUAACCGGGCGUUAAGUUGCAGGGUAUAGACCCGAAACCCGGUGAUCUAGCCAUGGGCAGGUUGAAGGUUGGGUAACACUAACUGGAGGACCGAACCGACUAAUGUUGAAAAAUUAGCGGAUGACCUGUGGCUGGGGGGUGAAAGGCCAAUCAAACCGGGAGAUAGCUGGUUCUCCCCGAAAGCUAUUUAGGUAGCGCCUCGUGAAUUCAUCUCCGGGGGUAGAGCACUGUUUCGGCUAGGGGGCCAUCCCGGCUUACCAACCCGAUGCAAACUGCGAAUACC
Molecule: ribosomal RNA, 432 nt
Filed under: Salmonella enterica
Lineage: Bacteria; Pseudomonadati; Pseudomonadota; Gammaproteobacteria; Enterobacterales; Enterobacteriaceae
Description: partial 23S ribosomal RNA
Source: RNAcentral